This 444-nucleotide ribosomal RNA is filed under the name uncultured bacterium. Its description in RNAcentral is "SSU rRNA". It matches the Rfam family "Bacterial small subunit ribosomal RNA", at positions 26 to 518 of the family's 1533-position model. The record is from RNAcentral.
AGAGCGAACGCUGGCGGCAGGCCUAAUACAUGCAAGUCGAACGCACCUUCGGGUGAGUGGCGGACGGGUGAGUAACACGUGGGAACGUGCCUUUUGGUUCGGAAUAAUCCGGGGAAACCUGGCCUAAUACCGGAUGUGCCCUUCGGGGGAAAGAUUUAUCGCCAUUAGAGCGGCCCGCGUCUGAUUAGCUUGUUGGUGGGGUAAUGGCCCACCAAGGCUACGAUCAGUAGCUGGUCUGAGAGGAUGAUCAGCCACACUGGGACUGAGACACGGCCCAGACUCCUACGGGAGGCAGCAGUAGGGAAUCUUGCGCAAUGGGCGAAAGCCUGACGCAGCCAUGCCGCGUGAAUGAUGAAGGUCUUAGGAUUAGUAAAUUCUUUCAGCGGGGAAGAUAAUGACUGUACCCGCAGAAGAAGCUCCGGCUAACUUCGUGCCAGCAGCCGC